CCUACGGGAGGCAGCAGUGAGGAAUAUUGGUCAAUGGACGAGAGUCUGAACCAGCCAAGUAGCGUGAAGGAUGACUGCCCUAUGGGUUGUAAACUUCUUUUAUAAAGGAAUAAAACGAGGCACGUGUGCCUUUUUGCAUGUACUUUAUGAAUAAGGAUCGGCUAACUCCGUGCCAGCAGCCGCGGUAAUACGGAGGAUCCGAGCGUUAUCCGGAUUUAUUGGGUUUAAAGGUAGCGUAGAUGGGUUGUUAAGUCAGUUGUGAAAGUUUGCGGCUCAACCGUAAAAUUGCAAUUGAUACUGGCAGUCGUGAGUACAGUUGAGGUAGGCGGAAUUCGUGGUGUAGCGGUGAAAUGCUUAGAUAUCACGAAGAACCCCGAUUGCGAAGGCAGCUUACUAAACUGUGACUGACAUUGAUGCUCGAAAGUGUGGGUAUCAAACAGGAUUAGAUACCCCAGUAGUC
RNAcentral lists this ribosomal RNA (460 nucleotides) under uncultured bacterium. Its description in RNAcentral is "partial 16S ribosomal RNA". It matches the Rfam family "Bacterial small subunit ribosomal RNA", at positions 338 to 795 of the family's 1533-position model. The record is from RNAcentral.